Long non-coding RNA from Daphnia magna, 1676 nucleotides. RefSeq lists it as uncharacterized. The record is from RefSeq and is a predicted model, not a curated record. NCBI's taxonomy places the organism in Eukaryota, Metazoa, Arthropoda, Branchiopoda, Diplostraca, Daphniidae. The transcript has 6 exons.
CAAAUAACUCCUUAUUUGUGGGUCUGUCAUAUAAAAGAUUCACAUUUUCGUGAUCCUCGUCUAAUUUGGGGUCGAUUCCAUGUAUAAACUCAAAAUACCCCAAAAUUGCUAAUUUUCCUGAACUACUGAACUGUUCAUGAAAAAUCACGAUUUUUGUCAAAUCCGACUUUUAGCAAAAAAACAAGUCAUUCCCAUCCCAAAUUUAAUAAGGAUCACGAAAAUCCUACUCAUUUCGUUAUGGGAUCAUUAUUUCCUGAGAUAUUGGCUACUUCCGGUUACUUCCGGAAAAUUUCCGUGACAAUAUGCAAAAAGUAAAAAAUGAGCUUUAAUGUUCUAACAAUUUCAAAUACUUUUCUCGUAUUCGGUAGGGUGUGGUAGCUAUUAUUCCGUGUUUUUCUUGCUUUCAACACUACAGGCUGAUCCUACGAGCUACGACAGUUUUACCUACAAAUGUUUAGCCGUUACGUGCUGCAACUAGUAGUCUAUUUUCUAGGAUGUAAUGCCUAAAAUUGGAAUUCAGCUAUCAGAGAUUAUCAAAAUUCAAGUACUCUAAAGCAAGUAUUGUACCGUUUUCAACAUUCAAAAUAAAAUAUAAUUUUUGGUUCUAGGCCGAAACUCUAGAUGGCGUUUUUGUGCGUUUAUGAUGAAGAUUAUGAGUGACAAGUUAAGGGGGUGUUUGUUACGUUACGCUGUUAUGUGUUUCAAAGGAUUUUUCGUCAAAACAUUUAUGAUUGCUUUUUGUCUGUGUUGGUGUUUCGCCUUGUUAGCUAUGCUAGCUGCUGAACCAGCAACCUGCAUUCCUGCUAUAAAUGUACCACAAGAGAUCCUGACACUUUGAGAAAGCCACUAUUGCUUACAUGAAGAUAACUUCCAGUUCAAGUACUGUUAAUGGACCUCAAGCCUUUUGUUUAAGCUUAGUGAUGUGUUCUCCCGUCAGUCAAUGACAGAGUCUUCAUCUACUUUCUGUUGCUUAACAUCCACCCUCAUCAUCCCAGGUAUCCAGAUUUCCAAGUUUCUCUGAUUAGCCAACCAUCAUCAAAACCCUUCAGCUCUUCAAUGUGGCUUCUCUUCCUCUCUUCUUAAUCUGCUGAAUGCCAACAUUGAAUAAGAUUCAUCAUCAUUACCUUUCCAUGAAAUCUUCAUUGUUAAUCCUGCUGUUCUUCUCACCGUUACUUAGCCAGCUCACAUGGAUAGGCUUUGACAGCAUCUCCAUUUUUUGGACUGCAAAUAUUCAUGUUACUUCGGUACGACACUGCCGUUUUGACAAUUUCGGUAGUUUCGCCCCCAGUGGACCACACGCAACUACAUUUUCUUCGUCUUCCUGUCGUUGUUGUCUACUACUUCACCUCAUCGCUGUCUUCGUUGAUGUCUUCGCCUUCAUCUCCGUCUUGUCAUCUUAGUCGUCUUCGCCUUCAUCUCCGUCCCGUCGUCUUAGUCGUCUUCGCCUUCAUCUCCGUCCCGUCGUCUUAGUCAUCUUUGUCUACGCCAUCACCUCGUCGCCGGUUUCUCUUUCGCCCUUCACGUUGGGAAUUCACCGUGGAUCUUCGCUCUGGUAUUGUUUUGUUUUACAUAAUUAUGUUUAAGUUAACCCGUUGGCUGCCACCCCGUUUGCGUCCCAUUUUUUUUGUAGCUUGUAGGGACCGGCCGCAAUGGCCUUCGCCGCAAGGCGCUUUAGG